ACCGCAAGUGGUGUGGCUUGCAAUAAUAUACCGCAAGUGGUGUGACUUGCAAAAUAGUAAUGGCAAGUGGUGUGACUUGCCGAAAGGAAACUGCAAGUGGUGUGACUUGCAAAAAAAAUACCGCAGGUGGUGUGACUUGCAAAUAUGGUAAUGCAAGUGGUGUGACUUGCAAAAUAGGUACCACAAGUCGUGUGACUUACAGAAAAGGUGGAAGGGAGGUAUUCGAACGCUGAUUUACAAAAAGAAUGGCAACAUCUUAUAAUGUGGUUGGAAGGCGUUGUGGCACACACCCUUCCCUUGAUUCUAAAUGUGCGCUACUAGUGUAAAGACGAGAAAUUUUUGUUAUUAUUUUAAA
Molecule: long non-coding RNA, 355 nt
Organism: Hydra vulgaris (swiftwater hydra)
Lineage: Eukaryota; Metazoa; Cnidaria; Hydrozoa; Anthoathecata; Hydridae
Source: RefSeq, a predicted model, not a curated record